UGUAUCUACGAGCCGCCGGUGGGUGAACCACGCACCGCUCAGUCUCGUUAAGUCGAACGCAUCCCUCUUAGAACGAUGGGACCACAGCCACGGCGCACCACUGCCCCGCAUCCGCCAUCCACGUGGCCGUGCUGCAGAGGAGAGCUGACAAAGUCGGACUCUGGGCAACGCGUGGGGUCCCCCAAAGGCGCAUCAUGUCAGGUCGGCGGGUCUACACACGUGGAAACGCCAACACUGAACUUUGGCUCAAACUUUGCCCAACUAUCCCCACGCGCCAGGGCUCAGCCGUUUGAGCAUCCACUGAAUGGGCCAACUGGGUCGCGACCGUCAACUCACUCCCCUCCGACCCCAGCGCGGGGUCAGCCAUUGGGCUGGGGUCACGCCAAUCAAGGUUGCCUGGCGAAUGAGCAGGGGGCGUCGGACCGGAAACCGGAUAUGAAGGGGAGGUCCAAUAGGGGGCGCCGCGUUGGAACGCCCCAAGAGGUUGUGCUGCUGGGGUGGUUGGAAGCGGUUGGUGGGCGUGCGUAUGGCGGCCAGGCCUGGGACGCCACGAGGCUCACUGGCGCCGUGGGGUCACUCUUCCCAAAGCCACAAGUCGCCAAGGCUGGAAGGGAAGGUCUGGGCCUACCAGGAGACAACCCUAGGGCUCGAUGGGCAAACCCACCCUCCCGAGGGGACCGCCGAUGAGGCCAGGCGAGGAGGAAGAAAAUGUCUAGGGCCUGUUGGUAGAGGGCCAAGGCCCUGAUGCACAGGAGGGGCCCAGACGCCUAAGGACCUGAGGCCCUGGGAUGCUGCGCCCUGCCGAGCUAGAAGGCAUUGGCCACCAGAGUCUAAAAACCCCAAAUCACUUAUGUGAGGGGGUUCAAAGCAGAAACCAUCACAGAUGAGCAGUGGGACCUGGGACACCUCAGAAGUACAGCCAGAUGUUUGAGGAGCUGGCUGAAAGGCAGCUGGUGCACCUGGCAACAGGGACCUGAGGAGCCCGGUGUGGUCACCUUUCUGUUAAGAUACAUACUUUCCCCAACGCCAUGGUUUCUGCUCAGUUUCCUCUCAAUAGCUUCCCUCUGCAUGAGGAGCUGUGAUAACACAGGGUCGGCAGUAAGGCACACUUUACGCACUGAAGACGCGUUACGGACCGCCGCGGUUUCUGUCCUCUGGCCACAGGACGGCUUCACCUCCAGGUUACAGAUACCAAACUUAGCUCCACCCGAGCUGCAAAUGGCCGCUUUUGUUCAGAACGAGGCAGGGGUUCGCCGUGGUGGCAACCCUCAAGUUAGGCCAUUGUUCAUAGACUCUUCUCCUGGGGCCCCGCACAGAACAGCGUCGUGAGCACGCACCCGCUGCUCAAAUCAAGGUGGCGACAGAACCUUCAGGGAGAAGCCUUCAGAAGAUGAACUGCUGAGGCCGGCUGUCAGCGCGUGAGGCCGAGACAGAGCCGUGAUGAAGUUCCUCUCCGUGGUGCUCAGAGCCUGCCGCCAAGGCCCCUGCAAACCCACGUUCAAAGGCCGUUUCUUCAAAGUCAACAGUGCUGCCUUUGAACUGGGAUGGGGAGCGGGCGGUCGGAAGGCAGGCUUCGAUGUGCAUGUUUGAGUGGAGUGCAUGAGGUUCGUGGUGGCAUUAGCCCUUGGGGGGCAGAGAGGGGCCACCGGUGUCCUGUGCCGUCUCUGUCCACCUGGGGCCACCAGAGGUCCCCGUGCAGGGCCGGGCCAGGAGGGGUGAUAAUGAAGAUGAAGGGCUCUUCCGGAGGGCACCCCCCAAUCCUGUUGUGCUGGAUUCAGAGGGUUGGGUGGAGGCUUUCCUGAAGGGCUGGAGGAGCGCUGCGCCCACGGGCUGGGCUGUACUGUCAGGAGGCGGGACAUGGGGAGCCUGCCCCCCAACCAGCGAGUCCCCCACGUGGUGGCCUGUCCUACUGUUGUUCUGCCCCAAGCCUCCUGUGGCUACCUGCAGUACAGCCCACCCUCUGAGCUUGGCCUUGACCACCAGCAUUGCCCCCAAAUGCCCCCAAAUGUUCCAUACGCUGUUCAGCCCACAGUUGCCUGAAGACCUGCACCUGGGCCUGCUCUUCCUCUCUUGGGGGCCAGAGGGGUCUUUCUCACCCUGGCUUCCCACCUGCAGGGAGCCCCCUGCCACCCAGCUCUCACGGCCCCCAUCAUCCCUGUCAUUUUGCUGGUAAUGUUUGCUGCCCCCUAUUCUAGUCCGAGAGCUUGUGGGAUGGGGGCCAGAGCUGUCCUGAGGAUUACUACGUUCACCAGCCUGGUCCUCUCCCAAGGUGUGCAGUGGGUGCCUAACGAAUACCUGAGCUUGAGUAGGGUAGACGUCUAUCUCUUUGUUCGUUCUCCAUAGAGCCCUCCCUGCUCGCCUCGCACCCAUGGCUCCCUCGUCUUUUCUCUGGUUCCCUGGAGCUCGUGGCUGCUGCUCUAGGGGCUCCGCAGGGAGCGUGAUGCCCGGGUACCCCCCGUCCUCUCCCACGGUCACAGGUGGCUCUCUUCCUCCGUGGCACUUACCAUAGCGUAGAACUUACUUUCCUAAUGCCUGGCUCCCCCCCACCCCCAGACUGAACCCCCGAGGGCAGGGCCUGUCUUUGUCACACACUUGGAACGAAGCAGGCAGCUGGAUGGACCGCGCCGAAAAAGUCAGACCCUUGGGACAUGAAAAAGGCAAUUGAAGGAGUGUCCCAAGUGCCGGGCGGCUUCCUGACAGUGCUCGGGACACUCGGGCCGCGGGCACUAUGAGAGGCCGAGAGAGGAACGAAGGACAGGGCCUCUGCUCCCAGAGUGCAGCUGCGGGGGAGGCUCAGCAUCAGCAGCUCUGGAGCCCGCGUCUCAGGGUGGGGGGUGGGGGUGGGUAAUGGGCCUAAUGGUCCAGUUCUGGGGCCAGGCACCCCCACCCACUCCCCAUCGCCAGCACAGCUGUAAUGCCAACCACCACCUGCUUCUCUCGCCUGUAGCUUUUCCUCCUGUCCCCAGCGAAGACCACACGCCCGUCCUUGCCAAGGCCAGCCUUCCUUCCUCGUGGCUUCUGCCCACUGUGGCCUCCUCCUCCCUGCCACCUGUUCAGCCGUGGGCACGCCGGCCCUGCCGAGCUGCACAGGAGAAGCAGGAGUCCCUUCGAGGCGUUCCCUCCGUGGGAAGUGGAAGGCUAUACAGGAGAACUAGGAAUUAGGUAGCAUGUUAGUGUUCUGUGUACCUGCACUCGGGCGGAGCAGGAGGACAGGCUGCAGGUUUAAUCUGGGGACCCCACGCUCCCCACCCUGUGUCCAGGCCCAGGGCUUCACCUUCCACAUCACUGAUAUUGAGGCUGGCCACACCCUGGGCCUCUGCCCCCACCAGAUGCCAGUGGCCGCCCCUCUGCCCAUCUCCAGACAUCACCUGGUGUCCUGGGAGGGAUCCCACACCCCACUGGGAGACUACAGUUAAGAGACUUACCUAAGUUUUACCUUGACCUGAUGGGAAGAAAUAAAUCAGGACAAAAAAAUGUUUCACAUACCGUCUGCUCUGGACUCGAUCCUCCUGCCCCAGGGUAGCUGAGAUGUGAAGUCUGUGCCCUUCCGCGGGUCCUGGUGUUGGAGGGCCUUUGAUCCGACAUUGCAGAAAUAGCUCUAGAUCAGUGUGCAUCGUGUGCACAAUACACAGACGGAUUUCCCAGCUCUGCUCGGGGCCCUGGGAAGCCCUGGAAGCAGGGGCACCCCAGCAGCCGCAGCCGUGCCCCACCUCAGACUUGGUCUCCGAUGCCAGUAUCUGGUGGAAGGAACCAGCCUCCUUGUUACAAGAGCUUCUUCCUGGGCUGAGGCGAGGACUGUGAUGAGCCUGGAGCCCAGAGUCAUGGCAGAAAGUAAGGAUGUGCUCAAAAACCAAAAUGAGGGCCUGGCAAGGGACACAGGAGCCACCCAGAGUGCUCCCAGGGACCCAGAGUGGAACCAUUCAACUCACAGGCUAGUCCGGGAUUAGGAUUCAGUCUACACUGUUGUAGAUAACUGAAUAAAUAGAGGAAUGCAUGUGAGAGACAAAUCUCUUGUAUGGAGAAUUGCAAAGAAUUCAUAUAAAAGCCCCUUUAGAAGCGGGGACACAACUACCCACCCCUUCAGUCUGGGCAAUGCUCGGGGUCUUGAUUCCAGAGCACAGCGGAGAACCUUGGCUGAGGGGAGCACUGCACAGCAGCCGGGGCUGAGGUUCACUUCUCCCAUUGACUGUUGGUCGGGAACACAGACCCAGGUAGGGCAUGAUGAGUAGCCUCCACGUCCAAGAGUCCCUUCUGAACCCAUCAUCCCAAUAAUCCAAGUAUAAACCCAACCCUGGGGACGUCCUACCAGCACUCCUCAGGAUGGUCAAGGUCGUUAAAACAAGGGAAAUCCGAGAAACUCCAAGCCAAGAAGAGACCUAACAGUAAAAUGUAAUGUGUCCAGGAAUGGAUCCUGCAACAGAAAAUAAAGGGCUUUUGGUGAAACCUGAGUAACACCUGGAGUUGAGUUAAUAAUGUAUCAGUAUUGGCUCAGUCACCGUGGCAAAUUAGCCCAGCAAUGUAACAAUAGUAGGAACUGGGUGCUGGGUGCACAGAAACUCUGGACUCUCUUGGUAACUUUUCUGUAGAUCUAAAACGAUUUUAAAAUAAAAAGCUUUUUUUAAAAAUA
Canis lupus familiaris (dog) is the source of this 4627-nucleotide long non-coding RNA. RefSeq lists it as uncharacterized. Lineage: Eukaryota; Metazoa; Chordata; Mammalia; Carnivora; Canidae. The record is from RefSeq and is a predicted model, not a curated record. The transcript is spliced from 5 exons.